This 231-nucleotide unclassified non-coding RNA is filed under the name uncultured Calyptella. RNAcentral's name for it is "sequence contains ITS1". Lineage: Eukaryota; Fungi; Basidiomycota; Agaricomycetes; Agaricales; Tricholomataceae. The record is from RNAcentral.
CUGAAGUACUGAAGAUUGUAGCUGGCAUCUUUGGAUGUAUGUGCUCAUCUUCUCUUCAAUCUUACCACCUGUGAACCUUUUGUAGUCUGUGGAUGUCAGCUCUCAACUAGCAAUAGUUGGAUUGAGGGGUUGCCUUACAAGCUCUCCUUGGAUGUCCACAGUCUAUGUUUAUCCAUAUACUCUGUAUGUUUAGAAUGUAUAUCAUGGGUCUUUGACCUAUAAAACCUUAUA